Molecule: ribosomal RNA, 1520 nt
Filed under: Klebsiella pneumoniae
Lineage: Bacteria; Pseudomonadati; Pseudomonadota; Gammaproteobacteria; Enterobacterales; Enterobacteriaceae
Description: bacterial SSU rRNA
Rfam family: Bacterial small subunit ribosomal RNA
Source: RNAcentral
AGAGUUUGAUCAUGGCUCAGAUUGAACGCUGGCGGCAGGCCUAACACAUGCAAGUCGAGCGGUAGCACAGAGAGCUUGCUCUCGGGUGACGAGCGGCGGACGGGUGAGUAAUGUCUGGGAAACUGCCUGAUGGAGGGGGAUAACUACUGGAAACGGUAGCUAAUACCGCAUAAUGUCGCAAGACCAAAGUGGGGGGCCUUCGGGCCUCAUGCCAUCAGAUGUGCCCAGAUGGGAUUAGCUAGUAGGUGGGGUAACGGCUCACCUAGGCGACGAUCCCUAGCUGGUCUGAGAGGAUGACCAGCCACACUGGAACUGAGACACGGUCCAGACUCCUACGGGAGGCAGCAGUGGGGAAUAUUGCACAAUGGGCGCAAGCCUGAUGCAGCCAUGCCGCGUGUGUGAAGAAGGCCUUCGGGUUGUAAAGCACUUUCAGCGGGGAGGAAGGCGGUGAGGUUAAUAACCUCACCGAUUGACGUUACCCGCAGAAGAAGCACCGGCUAACUCCGUGCCAGCAGCCGCGGUAAUACGGAGGGUGCAAGCGUUAAUCGGAAUUACUGGGCGUAAAGCGCACGCAGGCGGUCUGUCAAGUCGGAUGUGAAAUCCCCGGGCUCAACCUGGGAACUGCAUUCGAAACUGGCAGGCUAGAGUCUUGUAGAGGGGGGUAGAAUUCCAGGUGUAGCGGUGAAAUGCGUAGAGAUCUGGAGGAAUACCGGUGGCGAAGGCGGCCCCCUGGACAAAGACUGACGCUCAGGUGCGAAAGCGUGGGGAGCAAACAGGAUUAGAUACCCUGGUAGUCCACGCUGUAAACGAUGUCGAUUUGGAGGUUGUGCCCUUGAGGCGUGGCUUCCGGAGCUAACGCGUUAAAUCGACCGCCUGGGGAGUACGGCCGCAAGGUUAAAACUCAAAUGAAUUGACGGGGGCCCGCACAAGCGGUGGAGCAUGUGGUUUAAUUCGAUGCAACGCGAAGAACCUUACCUGGUCUUGACAUCCACAGAACUUUCCAGAGAUGGAUUGGUGCCUUCGGGAACUGUGAGACAGGUGCUGCAUGGCUGUCGUCAGCUCGUGUUGUGAAAUGUUGGGUUAAGUCCCGCAACGAGCGCAACCCUUAUCCUUUGUUGCCAGCGGUUCGGCCGGGAACUCAAAGGAGACUGCCAGUGAUAAACUGGAGGAAGGUGGGGAUGACGUCAAGUCAUCAUGGCCCUUACGACCAGGGCUACACACGUGCUACAAUGGCAUAUACAAAGAGAAGCGACCUCGCGAGAGCAAGCGGACCUCAUAAAGUAUGUCGUAGUCCGGAUUGGAGUCUGCAACUCGACUCCAUGAAGUCGGAAUCGCUAGUAAUCGUAGAUCAGAAUGCUACGGUGAAUACGUUCCCGGGCCUUGUACACACCGCCCGUCACACCAUGGGAGUGGGUUGCAAAAGAAGUAGGUAGCUUAACCUUCGGGAGGGCGCUUACCACUUUGUGAUUCAUGACUGGGGUGAAGUCGUAACAAGGUAACCGUAGGGGAACCUGCGGUUG